RNAcentral lists this ribosomal RNA (351 nucleotides) under uncultured bacterium. RNAcentral describes it as "partial 16S ribosomal RNA". It matches the Rfam family "Bacterial small subunit ribosomal RNA", at positions 338 to 681 of the family's 1533-position model. The record is from RNAcentral.
CCUACGGGCGGCAGCAGUAGGGAAUCUUCCACAAUGGGCGCAAGCCUGAUGGAGCAACACCGCGUGAGUGAAGAAGGGUUUCGGCUCGGAAAGCUCUGUUGUUGGAGAAGAACGGGCGGGAGAGUAACUGUUCACGCAGGGACGGUAUCCAACCAGAAAGGCACGGCUAACUACGUGCCAGCAGCCGCGGUAAGACGUAGGUGGCAAGCGUUAUCCGGAUUUAUUGGGCGUAAAGCGAGCGCAGGCGGUUGCUUAGGUCUGAGGUGAAAGCCUUCGGCUUAACCGAAGAAGUGCAUCGGAAACCGGGCAACUUGAGUGCAGCAGCGGACAGUGGAACUCCAUGUGUAGCGG